AUGACAAAGAAGAUGAAAGCAACAUGUGCUAAGAGGCCAGUUGUUGAUUUGAAACAUGCUUCGAAAUAUAUUUCCAAAGUGGAUAAUCGAUUUCGACGUCCUCGUCAUCGCCAUGUUUAUACAAAGUUUUUAGAGACACUGAUAAUGUUUAAGAAUAAAGAAAAAACUGUUGAUGAUGUUUGCAAAGAGGUUUAUUUACUUUUUGAAGGCCAUGAUGAUCUCAUUGAUGGGUUUAAUGAUUUUCUUCCAUAG
Vicia faba (fava bean) is the source of this 252-nucleotide non-coding RNA. NCBI's taxonomy places the organism in Eukaryota, Viridiplantae, Streptophyta, Magnoliopsida, Fabales, Fabaceae. The record is from the annotation of a GenBank genome assembly.